Molecule: long non-coding RNA, 946 nt
Filed under: Oryctolagus cuniculus (rabbit)
Lineage: Eukaryota; Metazoa; Chordata; Mammalia; Lagomorpha; Leporidae
Description: lncRNA (ENSOCUG00000029770.1)
Source: RNAcentral
UGGUUUAAUUGUUUGUGUGUGCGUGUUGUAACUUUUCUAUUUCAAUCAUAGCGUCUUCGGACCUUGGGAGGAAGAGUUGGGCCUGGCUCCUUUUCAGGCACGGGUGGAGGUGGGGCUGAGGAGGAGGGGCGGGGCCUGCCUACCUCUCAGGCAUGGGUGGAGGCAGGGCUGCGGAGGGGGGCGGGGCCUGGCUACUUCUCAGGCAUGGGUGGAGGUGGGGCUGGGGAGGAGCUUGAAUGGAGGCGGGGCUUGUGGGUGGGUGGGGCCUAUCUGCAUCUCAGGCUUGGAUGGAGGCGGGGCUGCCAACCUCUCAGGCAUGGGUGGGCGGGGCCUAUAUAUGUCUCAGGCUUGGGUAGAGGGAGCGAGGGGGGCCUAUCUACAUCUCAUGCUGGGGUGGAGGCAGGGUUUGGGAGAGGCGGAGACUACUUCUCAAGCAUGGGUGGAGGUCGGGCUAGGGGAGGAGCUUGAGUGGGGGCGGGGCUGGGUUGAGGGGGCAGGGCCUAUCGCCAUCUCAGUCUUAGAUGGAGGAGGAGCUGGGGGAAGAGCUUCAAUGGAGGCGGGGCCUAUCUCCAUCUCGGGGCCCCCAGCAUGUAGGCAGCAGAGCCCAGGUGAGCGGUGAACGCUAAGCCUGCAGCCCAGGUGGAAGCAGCAGACCACCGCCGGCUUCUGCCCCGCCCAGGGGUCACCAUCAGGAGCGGCGAGGUGAAGGGUACAUCCGAGAUCCUGGACCUCAGGACAGCUGAGCUGGGGGCGGGAAGGAGACAGCCUGCAGGUUCCACGUGGAGGCCGGAGGUUUAGAGCAGGAAGCUGGAGUCCAGAGCCAGAGUUGGGACUUGAACCCAGGGCCCUCCAAUGUGGGAUGCGGGCAUCGUAACCGAUUGGCCAGACGCCCACGUCAUGUUUAAUAAGACCAGGUAGAGAGGAGCUUCAGACCUCCCAACACGAC